Molecule: ribosomal RNA, 457 nt
Filed under: uncultured bacterium
Lineage: Bacteria
Description: bacterial SSU rRNA
Rfam family: Bacterial small subunit ribosomal RNA
Source: RNAcentral
UACGGGAGGCAGCGGGGGGAAUAUUGCACAAUGGGCGAAAGCCUGAUGCAGCUAUGCCGCGUGUAUGAAGAAGGCCUUAGGGUUGUAAAGUACUUUCAUCGGGGAGGAAAAAACAAAACUAAUAAUUUUAUUUCUUGACGUUACCCGAAAAAGAAGCACCGGCUAACUCCGUGCCAGCAGCCGCGGUAAUACGGAGGGUGCUAGCGUUAAUCAGAAUUACUGGGCGUAAAGAGCACGUAGGUGGUUUUUUUAAAGUCAGAUGUGAAAUCCCUGGGCUUAACCUAGGAACUGCAUUUUGAAACUGAAAUACUAGAGUAUCGUAGAGGGAGGUAGAAUUCUAGGUGUAGCGGUGAAAUGCGUAGAUAUCUGGAGGAAUACCUGUGGCGAAAGCGGCCUCCUAAACGAAUACUGACACUGAGGGUGCGAAAGCGUGGGGAGCAAACAGGGAUUAGAUACC